RNAcentral lists this ribosomal RNA (253 nucleotides) under uncultured bacterium. RNAcentral's name for it is "partial 16S ribosomal RNA". It matches the Rfam family "Bacterial small subunit ribosomal RNA", at positions 524 to 776 of the family's 1533-position model. The record is from RNAcentral.
UACGAAGGGGGCUAGCGUUGUUCGGAAUCACUGGGCGUAAAGGGCGCGUAGGCGGCCGAUUAAGUCGGGGGUGAAAGCCUGUGGCUCAACCACAGAAUUGCCUUCGAUACUGAUUGGCUUGAGACCGGAAGAGGUCAGUGGAACUGCGAGUGUAGAGGUGAAAUUCGUAGAUAUUCGCAAGAACACCAGUGGCGAAGGCGGCUGACUGGUCCGGUUCUGACGCUGAGGCGCGAAAGCGUGGGGAGCAAACAGG